CCGGCGACCGGCGCACGGGUGAGUAACACGUAUGCAACCUGGCCGUCACAGGUGGAUAACCGGAAGAAAUUCCGACUAAUACAGCAUAACACUCCUGAGGGACAUCCUUCGGGAGUCAAAGGAGGCAACUCCGGUGACGGACGGGCAUGCGGCGCAUUAGGUAGUUGGUAGGGUAACGGCCUACCAAGCCGACGAUGCGUAGGGGUUCUGAGAGGAAGGUCCCCCACAUUGGAACUGAGACACGGUCCAAACUCCUACGGGAGGCAGCAG
This 270-nucleotide ribosomal RNA is filed under the name uncultured bacterium. RNAcentral describes it as "partial 16S ribosomal RNA". It matches the Rfam family "Bacterial small subunit ribosomal RNA", at positions 88 to 354 of the family's 1533-position model. The record is from RNAcentral.